ACAAAUUAACAUUUAAACCUUAAACUAGCAGCGCACGUCACUUUCUGAAUGAGGUGCGCGACGUGCGCGUGCCCGUCAUUUUGUAACGGUCAACUUCCAGCGGACGGACACGGAGGAAAGGGCCUGACAACCACCAGUUGAGUCCAUGAUUCAGGGAAGAGACAGUCUGGGCAGCAGCAA
Molecule: long non-coding RNA, 180 nt
Organism: Carassius auratus (goldfish)
Lineage: Eukaryota; Metazoa; Chordata; Actinopteri; Cypriniformes; Cyprinidae
Exons: 3
Source: RefSeq, a predicted model, not a curated record